GUCUGCCAGCAAAUAUGAAACAAUGCGGCAUCAGUCCCUGGGGCUUUUUUGAUGGAAUAAUUUGUUUUGAACUAAAUGUUUUUAUUGGCUUGGAUCAUCUGGACCUUUGACGAGUAACAAGAGCGUUUUUGUUGGAAUAUAAUCGAUCGGUGGAUUACUAUGAGGCUUCAUAGUCUCGUGAUGAAUAGUGAAUUGAUUCCCAUUCUGCGGGAAUCCUACAGGAAUCCCAAAACCCACAGGAUUCCCGAAAAAAUGAGGCAUACUGGAGGAUUUGGCCUUACUACUGUCAGACACACUGUAAUUUGAACUCUGCUCCCAUCAGUGGAGGAGAUGGUGCUGGUUGAACCUUGACGGUGAGAAGUUGUGGAUAGAGCUCCAGCAAUAACAGAGGAAUGGUUUUGUGGCCUGUAAA
Molecule: long non-coding RNA, 412 nt
Organism: Micropterus dolomieu (smallmouth bass)
Lineage: Eukaryota; Metazoa; Chordata; Actinopteri; Centrarchiformes; Centrarchidae
Exons: 3
Source: RefSeq, a predicted model, not a curated record